AAAAGAAGUGGAGCUUGCGGCUUAAUUUGACUCAAAACUUGAAAACUUACCAGGUCCGAACUUAUUGAGGUAAGACAGAUUGAUAGUUCUUUCUCAAACUUAAGGGUAGUGGUGCAUGGCCGUUCUAAGUUCGUGGAAUGAUUUGUCUGGUUAAUUCCGGUAACGAACGCGACUCAGUCAAGCUAACUAGAACGCUGUCAGUAGUGUGCCUCCGGGCGCACCUGACGUUAGGAGUGGCGGGUGUCCUCACGGCUGCCCGUCACUUAGUUUGCCCUGCUUAGCGGGACAACUUGUGUUUAGCAAGAUGAGAUUGAGCGAUAACAGGUCCGUGAUGCCCUUAGAUGUUCUGGGCUGCACGCGUGCUACAAUGUGAGCAGCAGCGUGUUCUCGCCUUAUGGCGCCCCCAUUCCGAGAGGAACGGGAAAUCACCCAAAUGCUCAUUUAGUAGGAAUUGGGGACUGCAAUGGUCCCCAUGAACCUGGAAUUUCUAGUAAGUGCUAGUCAUUAGCUAGCGCUAAUUACGUCCC
Anopheles gambiae str. PEST is the source of this 527-nucleotide ribosomal RNA. It matches the Rfam family "Eukaryotic small subunit ribosomal RNA", at positions 1169 to 1653 of the family's 1831-position model. Lineage: Eukaryota; Metazoa; Arthropoda; Insecta; Diptera; Culicidae. The record is from Rfam.